Long non-coding RNA from Zophobas morio, 2111 nucleotides. RefSeq lists it as uncharacterized. The transcript is spliced from 2 exons. The record is from RefSeq and is a predicted model, not a curated record. Lineage: Eukaryota; Metazoa; Arthropoda; Insecta; Coleoptera; Tenebrionidae.
UAUACAUAUUGAAAUUUUAGUACUAACUAAUUUGAAAUUUAUAAUGUGUAAGUCUUCCAGGGGGGGCAACCACAACUGCUAGGGGGGGCUCAGCCCCAUCUUGCCCCCCCGUAGCUACGGGGCUGGUUGGAAGUAUUAUCCAUUCGCGAUCAUUAUAUAGUAAAGUAGGCUCUGAUAUUUUUUUCUUUAAGUUGGAUAAACUGAUUUGAUGAUUUAGUUUUUUGUCUGUCAGUAGUCUGAUUGACAUUUGCUUUGAGCUGGAUUGCCACUUUUCUACUUCAUUUAUUAGAUCAGAAUUAUUAGACCCAAUUUUUUAAUCAAACAAACAAAUGUUUUAAUUUUGUCAGCAUAGAUAAUUUAUCAUUGUGACAGAUUCACAGAUCAUUGCGACAUUAUUUAAAAAUUUAAAAAGAGAAUUUAAAAACACCACUAUCUGGCAAGCGAAAACUAACGGAUUUAUUUACAAAUUAUAUGUUUCGGAAAGACCUGCAACAACAAAUUUGGCAACUUCAUGAAAAAAAACGAAUAUUUCACUGUAGAUACUCUUUUGGCAUAUUCUAGGGAACAGUUGGAAUUUAAAGGGGGGCGAACCACAUUAUACAAAAUUCUUAAGUCAAUGGGUUAUAAACAUAGGGAAGUAAUGGUCGCAAAAUUCUAUGUGAACAAAAACAUGUCGUUGCAGCCAAAAUUACUUUUUUGAGAACAUAUUUACAGUUUCUAAAUUCUUGUGAAAAUUUGACUUUCGUGUAUUUGGAUGAAACAUGGAUCUAUCAAAAUGGGUCGUCCAUUCGUCGCUGGGUGCACGAUACUGAUCUAAAAAGCAAUCCUACCAAAAUUAAAAGUGAACGAUCAAGGUUUACUAUUCUCCACGCGGGUUGUUCAACGCGGUUCUUGGAUGGUUGUAACAUUUUUUUAAAUUAAAAAAAUAACGAUAGAGACUAUCAUAAUAAAACGAUGGACGGGACAACUUUUCAAAAUUGGGUGGUUAAUCAGCUCAUUCCUGCUUUGGCAAAGUUGAACCAAAAAUGUGUGGUGGUUUUAGACAAUGCACCGUAUCAUUCGGUUCAGUUAGAUAAACCACCCACUUUUUCUAGUAAAAAAUGUGAAAUGCAGGAAUGGCUCUUUAAACAUAGUGUUGAAUCUGACAAAAAAUUUUCGAAGAAACAGUUCUGGGAUUUAAUCAAACCCUUCAGAAACAAUAGAAAAAAAAAAGAUAUUUGGUAGACGAGACAUUCAGAGAAAGUGGCCAUGAAGUUCUUAGAUUACCUCCGUACCAUUGUCAAUAUAAUCCAAUUGAAAUGGCGUGGGGAUUUUGUAAGAACUAUUACAACAAGAACAUAAAUUCUCAACCUUCAUUAAAAAAUAGGGUGGAGAAUUUAUGGUUUGAGGCGAUUUCUAAAUGUACUCCAAGCAUGUGGCAAAAUUUUUGUAAACAUUGUGAAAAACUUAUUUUGGCAGAUUGGGAAAAAAAUAUGGGAAAUCUUUCGUACGCGUCUAUACCUCCUUUCAUUAUUUCGCUAGGUGAAUCUGAUUCAGAAUCCAAAUAAGAAAAUGACGGUGAUGAUACAGAUUGUCAUAGCGAAAUAAUGGAAAUGGAGUGAAUUGUAGCUUGUCGGGGGGUGAUAUUUUUACGCAUCUUUCGUUCUAAAUUUACCAAGGUAGUAUGUGAAAAACUACCUGACGUACAACAAAAUAAGUAUAAUUUUAGUUAGAUCAUCCACGUUGUUACUUUGCACCAAAUUUUAAGCAUUUUCAUUUUUUUUUUUUUUGUAGCUCUUCAUGGACCUGGAGAAGGCGUAUAAAGAGCUAAACCCAUCAAAGCACUAGAGCAAGGUUGUUGUCUUUUACCAACCCUUUUAGUAAUCUUAGAAAAGUGAAAAAAGAAGUUGGAAGAUAUGGAAAUAGGCUGUUCACGAAGGUCGAAAUUUCCAUUUCUAAGAAGAGUGGGCGAGCAGAACGAACUGAUGAUUGAGAAUUAAAGAUGAGAUGCUAAAUGUGGCAUGCGACAAUAGUCGUACGUAGAACCCCCAUUCAUAUAAAAACAAUGUUUAAGUGCAAUUUUAGUGUUUGUUCCUUACAUAUGAAAUAAACACUUACAAAAAGCCGAAUAA